Molecule: long non-coding RNA, 548 nt
Organism: Gigantopelta aegis
Lineage: Eukaryota; Metazoa; Mollusca; Gastropoda; Neomphalida; Peltospiridae
Exons: 2
Source: RefSeq, a predicted model, not a curated record
ACAUCAGUUAGAAAGUUGAAUUAGAUACAAAUUGUGUAAUACACGUAGGCUAAAUGCACUGAAAUCAAAUAAAUAAAUGGCAAAUUCUUAAUCUGUAUUUAUAUGAAUUUAUUACUGAACAAUUUGAAUAUUUCAACAAUAAAAAACGCAGCACUGUCCACUUUUCAGAAAUGUAGUCGUUUUCAAGGUAACGCUUUAUGCUGAGGCCCGUUUGUGCACUAAUUGUUUGAUUGGUAUCACGGUUCAUUUAACAGUUGCGGUAACACUAGCUGUACUUGAAAGAUCAUUACCGAUAGUCGUUAACAAACAACAUGACAAGUGUGAUGACAAAAGGAUUGCAUAGCUAGUGUUGCGAUUCCCCGAUUCAUCUAUGUCUGCGUCGUUAAAUAAAACAUUUCUUUCUUUCUUUCUAUAGUUCGUUCCGCCUAAAUAAUUAAUCCGAAGGUUAUAAUAACCAACUGCGCAAGCGCAGCAAUUGUUAGUCCUGUUUGGCGGUUUGCCAUAAGGCCAAAUAAAAAAAGAGUUGGUGAUCGUCCCCGCCCGUACCU